GAUAAUUAUGAAAUCAGUGUUUUUGACCAAGUAUCAAUCUUAGUAAUUUCAACUUAAAAUAGCUUCAUUCAGGAAUGGUGGUAUGUGAAUCCCAGAACAAAACCAUAUUCUUUUAGAUUCCAUGAACCCAGAAGUUUCAAAGGUAGAUUUUUUUUUUUUUUUUCUAGUCAUCAGUGCUGGUGAAAAGCUUUCAGUUGUUAUGGUUUGAGUGUCAAGGGCAGUGUCAUGCAGGUUUCAUCUUAGAAAUGAAGUACACGUAUAAUUCUGUAAGCAACAUGCAGUAGGCAUGCUCCCAGUGUUGAGAAUUGUGCUGUUCUUUUGCUCUGUUCCUCAAAGCCCCUCAGCGUGUGUUGGUAGGCAGUGGAAUCAUAUGCUGUAUCCACACUUUGUGAUUUACGAAGCCUUUCUCCCAUAUUGAAAUGGAAUUCCUCAUACACUUUAUAAGGGGAAAAGGAGAAGGAGAAUGUGGUUUUUAAUUUUGCUUUGCUAUCUUUAUGAUAAACCCGGCAUCUGACUUUUCCCGAAGGAUGUGUGUGAGAAAUCGUGCAAGUUGUACAGAAAGCUUAGCUGAAAGCCGUGUGGCCCACCCAGUGGUGAUGAGUGCAUCCUGUGCAGCCGGUGCUGUGCACUGCUGCUCCAGCAGGAGCAGCCCUUCUCAGACCUCUUGAUCUCAGGACCCCUCCACACUCAAAACAAUUUAAAGAGCACUUUGGUUUAUGUGGAUUACAUCUCUUCAUAUUUGCCGUAUUCGAAAUUAAAACAAAUUUCUUAAAUAUUAAUUCCUUUAAAAACAACAAAAUACAUUUUAUGUUAAAACAAGUAUUUUAGAAAAAAUCUAAAAAUCACAUUUUAGUACGGAGAGACAUCGUUUUACAUUUUUGCAAAUCUCUUUAAUGUGUGGCUUGAUAGAAUUUAGGAUUCUCACAUCUGCUUAUGUACUCACUUUGUCACGAUAUGACAUGUCAUGUAGCCUGGAAAAUUCUGCAUACUUGUGUACUUGUGACAGAAUGAUGCAAAUAACCUCUUAUGAAAGGGUCUCAGGAACCCCUGGGGAGCCUUGGACCACCUCCAAAACCACUUUGUCAGAUUAUGACUUUUGAGCUCAGUUGCUGAGACUAAGCAAAGGUCAGGGCUGAGAUUCCUGAAGGCUAUCUGAGUCUCCAAGGAAUAGGAAAUAAACCUGUUUGCCUAGAAACAGCCUUUCUUAAGACAAUACCAUUGCUGCAGGGGGUAGAGGUUUUGCUUCUUAGGCAUCCUUCCUCCUCUUCCCUUCCUCGCUGAAAUCUUAAAGGAGGCCAAACAAGGCCAAUAUUAAGUGCUUCUAGUGAUUGGGCCAAGUAAUAUACCUGGAAAGGAAAGGAAGGAAACCUAAGGAGGUGUGAGUUUGCUUAAGCCAAGGAGUUUAUCUAUCACUGUUACUUUUCUGCUUCCAAAAUCUGGAAGAAAAGAUAGAUUCAAACCUUUUGAAAAUGUUUGUUCAAACCUACAGAAAAAUCCUGAAAGAGUUGAAAAGUAGGAAGAGUGUACGUACGAGGGAGGAAGGUGGCCUGUUGCUAAGAUGUACGAUUUAAAAUUCUGUGAUGCCUUCCUCCCCUCACAAUAAAAAAAGAAUUUCCUUGAAGGCUCAAACACAUGUUUAAAAAUACUAUGAUCUAUUCCCUAUCUGCCUCCAUGAAUAGACCAAGAGCUUCCGGAAGGCCUAGAGAAUGUUGACACCAUGCCGAGAUGUGGAGGCUGGGAGUGGCCAAGCCCGCUAGCUAAUGACCUGAACAUUGCAGCCCGGGGCCCGCAUGUGAGCUUCAGUAAACUGGCAAGACUUCACACACUGGACCUCCAGAGUUACUCAGUGAGGCCUAUUCCAGUGGGCAGGAAAGCCAAGGAUUGAAGCAGAUCUUACUACUACUCCUGUGGGAGGUGCAGAAAAUUGAAAAUGCUGUUCCCUCAAGGGGUCACCAGGGUCUCAAGGUUUUUCUUUGGAAACUGACCACACUUGCAGGAUCCAUGAGGAAGUGCCAGGAAGCCCCAGCAGUGAGGCAGUAAAUGGAAGGAGACCCUCAUGAAAGGCAGUGAUUUCAUUGGAAAUUACUUGUUUUGUCCUUUAAGAGAAAGCUUACAUUCAACAAUGGGAACUACUCCUGGGAGGCAGCAGAGAUAUAAAGGGGCAAAUUGGAACAUGGUAAGAACUUUCAGUCUCCUUUGUAGAGUGCAUGAAAGAAGGAAGUAGAGGUCACACUCUUAGAGCAAAGCCCAGAUUUAAAAACUAAAGAAUUAAGAUUACUAUCUUCCUGAACACUCUAUAAAUUUUCUCUUAAUACAAUGUAGAGUGAUGCAACAUAAACAACCAGGAAAAGAAUACAUAGUGCCUCAUUUUACAAUAGACAUUCUGGUUUUCCAGCCCUAAUGCUAUUUUUCUAACCAGUUAUUUCGUUAGGGUUUUAGACAAACUGCACAUAGUUCUUCCCAGCAUACCAGGACAAACACCAAGAUGUGCUACUCCCAGCCGGAUUCCCUGAUAAAAACUAAACGUCGGGGAAAUCUGCAACACAAUACUCGGUGGUGUUUGAAAAUGGAGAUUCUUAAGCCCUGCCCCAAGACUGAAUGGUAAGACUCUCCUAGGGUGGAACCUAGGAUCUAAAUUUUUAGCAAGCAUGUCUGCUUUAGCUUUUUCUAAGGUGAAGAUAUUUAUGUCCCAUAUGAAUGCUCACCAAAGAGUGACCUCAGCAGAGGAAGAUUUUAAUGAUCAGUGGAGAUGUGGAAAGCUGACUAGUGUCCCUUGCUUGAGCUUUUCCUAUCCAUGAGUUGAGUAAUAAGACUCAAACUAUCUCUGCUCCUUCCUCUCCCCUUCUUUGUGCAGCAUGAGGGUAUUUAUUAAUGUAUUAGUGACUCAUUCUAACCCUUACCCAUUUACAAUUUUUUGUACCCAAAAAUUCUAAAGGAAAAUAACUCAGGUAUCAUGGCUUAAUUUAAAAUAGCUUUUGGGGAAAACUAGGUAAAAUAUACAGGAGACCUCUCUGCACUAUCUUUGCAAAUUCCUGUGAAUCUAUAAAAAGUUUUAAAACUAGCUAUCAUCUUAAUAAUUUAGGAGUAAUGAGUGUCAAAAUUCUGAGGAGGGAGAACACUGGGGCUUACUAGUUAUUUUGUGUCAAAGCAAGAGAAAAAUCACUGUGAAAAAGAAUCUUCAGCUAAUGUAAAUGGGAAACAAAUGCUCAGAAAAAAAGUUCAGGCGGGUUAGUUGAGACAGGCCCCAGUGUUCUUUCUGGACCAAACCUCCCUCCAAUAAAUAUAUCAAGGAAAGACAAAAAGAAAGCUUUCCCUCUCUUAAUUCUUUUCUCUUAAAGAAGCUACAGUAGGAAAAAAUUACAUGCAACUAACUCAUUUAAAAUAAUAUCUAGAUGUAUUUCAUUUCAAGCAGAUGUUUUCAGAAACUACCUCCCUCCUUAAAUUAGCAACAGGUUCAAUCAUAAAGGAGGGAAAACUGAAGCAAGCUUAUCCUGGUUCACAUUGCAUCUCUGCAAGAUUGGUUAUUAUGGCAGAGUUUAAUCUCAGGACAAAUGAAAUUAGUUUAAUAGCUACAUGCAAUAGAAAAUUUUACAAAAUAAAAUGUAUAUCUAUGCCUCAAAAAAAUUAAAAAUACAAGCCAGCACAUCCACUUCGGGGUAUAUAGCCAAAAUAAUUGAGAAAAAAGGAUCUCAAAGAGAUAUCUGCACACCCAUGUACAUAGUAGCACACCAUAGCCAAAAGGUAGACACAGCCCAAAUGCCUCUUAACAGACGAAUGGAUAAACAAAAUGUGGUACAUACAUACGAUGCAACAUUAUUCAGCCUUCAAAAAGAAAUCCUGUCACAUGCUACAACAUGUAUGAACCUUGAAAACAUUAAGCUAAGUGAAAUAAGUCCAUCACAAAAAGAUAGUGUAUGAUUCCACUUAUAUAAGAUAUCUGAAGUAGUCAAAUUUAUAGAAAGAAAAAGUAGAAUGGUCGCCGGGGACUUGGGGGAGGGAAAAAUCAGGAGUUGUUUAAGGGGUAUAGUUUUAGUUUUGCAAGAUAAAAAGUUCUGGAGAUCUGCUUCACAACAAUGCGAAUGUACUUAACACUGCUGAACUAUAUACACUUAAAAAUGAUUAAAAUGGUAUAUUUUAUGUGUUUUUUACCACAAUUAAAAAUGUUUUUAGGGCUUCCCUAGUGGUGCAGUGGCUAAGAGUCCGCCUGCCAGUGCAGGGGACACGGGUUCGAGCCCUGGUCCAGGAAGAUCCCACAGGCCUCGGGGCAAGUGGGCCGGUGUGCCACAACUGCUGAGCCUGUGCUCUAGAGCCCACGAGCCACAGCUGCUGAGCCCGUGUGCCACAACUGCUGAAGCCCACGUGCCUGGAGCCCGUGCUCUGCAACAAAGAGAAGCCACCGCAAUGAGAAGCCCAUGCACCACAGCGAGGAGUGGCCCCAGCUCGCCACAACUAGAGAAAGCCCACGCACAAGCAAUGAAGACCCAACGUAGCCAAAAAUAAAUAAAUAAAUAUAAUAAAUAAAUAAAUAAAAAUAAAAUGAC
Long non-coding RNA from Physeter macrocephalus (sperm whale), 4541 nucleotides. RefSeq lists it as uncharacterized. The record is from RefSeq and is a predicted model, not a curated record. NCBI's taxonomy places the organism in Eukaryota, Metazoa, Chordata, Mammalia, Artiodactyla, Physeteridae. The transcript has 6 exons.